CGAAGGACCCGAGCGUUAUCCGGAUUUAUUGGGUUUAAAGGGUGCGUAGGCGGACUUGUAAGUCAGUGGUGAAAUCCUGCGGCUUAACUGCAGAACUGCCAUUGAAACUGCUUGUCUUGAGUACAUUUGAAGCGGGCGGAAUGUGUCAUGUAGCGGUGAAAUGCUUAGAUAUGACACAGAACACCGAUUGCGAAGGCAGCUCGCUAAACUGUAACUGACGCUGAGGCACGAAAGCGUGGGUAGCAAACAGGAUUAGAUACCCUGGUAGUCCACGCCCUAAACUAUGAUCACUCGAUGUGUGCGAUACACUGUACGCGUCUGAGCGAAAGCAUUAAGUGAUCCACCUGGGAAGUACGGCCGCAAGGCUG
This 368-nucleotide ribosomal RNA is filed under the name uncultured organism. Its description in RNAcentral is "bacterial SSU rRNA". It matches the Rfam family "Bacterial small subunit ribosomal RNA", at positions 526 to 896 of the family's 1533-position model. The record is from RNAcentral.